UACGUAGGGUGCUAGCGUUGUUCGGAAUCAUUGGGCGUAAAGCGCGUGUAGGCGGCUAGUUAAGUCGGGUGUGAAAUCCCUGGGCUCAACCGAGGAAGUGCAUCCGAAACUGAUUAGCUCGAGAGUGGUAGAGGAAGGUGGAAUUCCUAGUGUAGAGGUGAAAUUCGUAGAUAUUAGGAGGAAUACCGGCGGCGAAGGCGGCCUUCUGGACCAUUUCUGACGCUGAGACGCGAAAGCGUGGGGAGCAAACAG
RNAcentral lists this ribosomal RNA (252 nucleotides) under uncultured bacterium. RNAcentral's name for it is "partial 16S ribosomal RNA". It matches the Rfam family "Bacterial small subunit ribosomal RNA", at positions 524 to 775 of the family's 1533-position model. The record is from RNAcentral.